UGCCAGCCGCCGCGGUAAUACGGAGGGGGUUAGCGUUGUUCGGAAUUACUGGGCGUAAAGCGUACGUAGGCGGAUUAUUAAGUGAGGGGUGAAAUCCCAGGGCUCAACCCUGGAACUGUCUCUCAUACUGGUAGUCUUGAGGUCGAGAGAGGUGAGUGGAAUUCCGAGUGUAGAGGUGAAAUUCGUAGAUAUUCGGAGGAACACCAGUGGCGAAGGCGGCUUACUGGACAAAUACUGACGCUGAGACGCGAAAGUGUGGGUAGCAAACAGGAUUAGAUA
This 279-nucleotide ribosomal RNA is filed under the name uncultured bacterium. RNAcentral describes it as "partial 16S ribosomal RNA". It matches the Rfam family "Bacterial small subunit ribosomal RNA", at positions 506 to 784 of the family's 1533-position model. The record is from RNAcentral.